UGAUUAGGUGUCCGUGUGUUAAUUGUGAAAAUGUGAGAUAUCAUACAACAGAGACUGUUGCUAUGCAUCUUAUGAUGAAUGGAUUCAAACCAGGGUAUACAGUUUGGACUAGCCAUGGUGAGGUUGAAAGUGACACUAUGUUUAAUAACUUUGUUGUCGAUGAAAGUAGUAGAUCUACCGAGCAUAAUUAUUUGCAAGGUUCUAGAAUGUCAAAUAUGGUCGAUGAGAUUGCGGCAGCAAAAGAGGUAGAGAACA
RNAcentral lists this long non-coding RNA (255 nucleotides) under Solanum tuberosum (potato). RNAcentral describes it as "long non-coding RNA (STUB_LNC001774)". The record is from RNAcentral. Lineage: Eukaryota; Viridiplantae; Streptophyta; Magnoliopsida; Solanales; Solanaceae.